Mycena leptocephala is the source of this 94-nucleotide non-coding RNA. The record is from the annotation of a GenBank genome assembly. Lineage: Eukaryota; Fungi; Basidiomycota; Agaricomycetes; Agaricales; Mycenaceae.
GGUCUCGUAGCUCAGCGGUUAGAGCGUUGGAUAUCAUUAUCUCUAACUCGGGAAUGUUAUUCCGAAGACCAGGGUUCGACUCCCUCCGAGACCG